UACGUAGGGACCAAGCGUUGUUCGGAUUUACUGGGCGUAAAGGGCGCGUAGGCGGCGCGGUAAGUCACUUGUGAAAUCUCUGAGCUUAACUCAGAACGGCCAAGUGAUACUGCAGUGCUAGAGUGUGGAAGGGGCAAUCGGAAUUCUUGGUGUAGCAGUGAAAUGCGUAGAUAUCAAGAGGAACACCUGAGGUGAAGACGGGUUGCUGGGCCAACACUGACGCUGAGGCGCGAAAGCCAGGGGAGCAAACGGG
RNAcentral lists this ribosomal RNA (253 nucleotides) under uncultured bacterium. RNAcentral describes it as "partial 16S ribosomal RNA". It matches the Rfam family "Bacterial small subunit ribosomal RNA", at positions 524 to 776 of the family's 1533-position model. The record is from RNAcentral.